CAUGUGUAUACGCCUUGCUCUCCUGAAAACCCUUUAUCCACCCUUCAAACUGCCCUUUGAAGAACAUUUAUAGAAACAAUUACUGGAAUCCUGGAUCAGAAUGUCAAGCGCCCAUAACCUCUUAGGUGUGCAAAAGCCUAGAAAAGGCUAAGACUAGGGGAAAAAAAGAUGCUCACAUAUGAAACAGCAAAGGCAAAAGUCAAGAUACGCGCGUCACAGAUUUCACCAAGGCCCGUAGAAGUCUGUGGACAUGAGCUAGUCAGUGCCUUUGCUUUACCAUGAGCCUCACAGCAUAGGCAGAUGCCCUUCAGUGCUCUGGAUUUGAAGACAGUCUGUCCCAUAGACAUGGUACAUAAUAAUAAAUAAUGACUAUGCCACCUCUG
This is a long non-coding RNA of Mus musculus (house mouse), 383 nucleotides long. RefSeq annotates it as predicted gene, 31687. The record is from RefSeq and is a predicted model, not a curated record. Lineage: Eukaryota; Metazoa; Chordata; Mammalia; Rodentia; Muridae. The transcript is spliced from 3 exons.